UCCCACACUUUUUUUUUGUUUGCUCAUUUUUUUUGGCUGAAAUAAAAUACAAAUAUAACAAAACCUCAAAAGCUCGCCACUUCUCACUAACAUUUUUCCACAACUCAAGUGGCAUAGGCAUCUCUAUCACUCACUCUGGCAUAACAAUCGACAAGUAUCUUUGAUUAUAGAAAAAAAUGAGUUAGCUUUGAGCCAAAGCACAAUAGACGAGUCUCAAAUUUUGCCAAAUGAUGUCGUUGGUAAGGUGCUAGGAAAAGAGCACUCUGGAAGGGUGAGGUGUUUGGGAUUAGGCCCUGUCCCUAGUAGAGUUUUUAAACAAGUAAGACCUCGUUUUGGUGGUACAAGUUCUUCAAGUACUGAAGGUUCAUGUUCGUCCCAAUGUCAACAUAACCAUAAUCAAAUGAUGAAUUUGAUGAACGCUUUCAAGGCAUAUAUGAUAAUGAAAGAAGGGACUAUACCAGAACAGUUUGCAGGGUUCUUUGCUUCUCCUUCGACGGUUUCUCCUACAACGCCAAGUGCAACGGACAGUGGACCCCUUUCGCCAAUGGACGCAAGAAGAUCAUGUGGUGAUAGUAACUCUAGCGGCAAUCGUUGAUUUCAUUAUAAUUGUCUUAGAUAAUUAAUUGUGACGAUGUAAUAUUGUGUGGUUGAAGCUGAUGUUAGAAUGUUGGAGUGAAUGUUUUGUGUUUAAAAUAGUUUUUGAGUGAUGCUACUUAAUGUUGACAAUUUAGUUUUAAAGACUAAUGAUAUUUUAUGAUAACGUUUUGUGAUUUUAUGA
Molecule: long non-coding RNA, 778 nt
Organism: Nicotiana attenuata
Lineage: Eukaryota; Viridiplantae; Streptophyta; Magnoliopsida; Solanales; Solanaceae
Exons: 4
Source: RefSeq, a predicted model, not a curated record